UGCGGUAUAACCUGCAAGCAUCCC
Molecule: non-coding RNA, 24 nt
Filed under: Rattus norvegicus (Norway rat)
Lineage: Eukaryota; Metazoa; Chordata; Mammalia; Rodentia; Muridae
Source: RNAcentral